AUAUGGUCAAGAUAUCAUUGUAUAUGCAAUAUUUCAUAGCGUGGCUAGAAGGCUUGGUCUACGUUGCGAUGUACUACAGGUUUUUAAUCGAUUCUGUGUAUUUUGGAAACAAAAAUGCGUCACGAAUAAUUUCGAAAAUGCACGAUGUUUUUAUAUAAAAGACGAGAAUUUUCCGAAUUGUCUUCAUGAUUAUCUAUCAGAUUACAAGUCUUGUACACAUCAUGACAUCAUCAAAAUAAGAACUGAACAGAUGUUGGACAUGAUAAAAGAUUU
Molecule: non-coding RNA, 273 nt
Organism: Nylanderia fulva
Lineage: Eukaryota; Metazoa; Arthropoda; Insecta; Hymenoptera; Formicidae
Source: RefSeq, a predicted model, not a curated record